CUAAAAGGAAUUCACGGGGGCCCGCACAAACGGUGGAGCAUGUGGUUUAAUUCGAAGCAACGCGAAGAACCUUUCAGGCCUUGACAUCCAAUGAACUUUCCAGAGAUGGAUUGGUGCCUUCGGGAACAUUGAGACAGGUGCUGCAUGGCUGUCGUCAGCUCGUGUCGUGAGAUGUUGGGUUAAGUCCCGUAACGAGCGCAACCCUUGUCCUUAGUUACCAGCACGUUAUGGUGGGCACUCUAAGGAAGACUGCCGGUGACAAACCGGAGGAAGGUGGGGAUGACGUCAAGUCAUCAUGGCCCUUGCGGCCUGGGCUACACACGGGCUACAAUGGUCGGUACAGAGGGUUGCCAAGCCGCGAGGUGGAGCUAAUCCCAGAAAACCGAUCGUAGUCCGGAUCGCAGUCUGCAACUCGACUGCGUGAAGUCGGAAUCGCUAGUAAUCGCGAAUCAGAAUGUCGCGGUGAAUACGUUCCCGGGCCUUGUACACNCCGCCCGUCACACCAUGGGAGUGGGUUGCNCCAGAAGUAGCUAGUCUAACCUUCGGGAGGACGGUUACCACGGUGUGAUUCAUGACUGGGGUGAAGUGGGAACAAGAAA
This 599-nucleotide ribosomal RNA is filed under the name Pseudomonas sp. PK4. RNAcentral describes it as "bacterial SSU rRNA". It matches the Rfam family "Bacterial small subunit ribosomal RNA", at positions 900 to 1498 of the family's 1533-position model. The record is from RNAcentral. Lineage: Bacteria; Pseudomonadati; Pseudomonadota; Gammaproteobacteria; Pseudomonadales; Pseudomonadaceae.